RNAcentral lists this transfer RNA (76 nucleotides) under Bryobacterales bacterium. Its description in RNAcentral is "tRNA-Thr". It matches the Rfam family "tRNA". Rfam says of the family: Transfer RNA (tRNA) molecules are approximately 80 nucleotides in length. Their secondary structure includes four short double-helical elements and three loops (D, anti-codon, and T loops). Lineage: Bacteria; Pseudomonadati; Acidobacteriota; Terriglobia; Bryobacterales. The record is from RNAcentral.
GCCGGUGUAGCUCAGUUGGUAGAGCAUCUGACUUGUAAUCAGAAGGUCGCCGGUUCGAUCCCGGCCGCCGGCUCCA